Molecule: long non-coding RNA, 560 nt
Organism: Megalobrama amblycephala (Wuchang bream)
Lineage: Eukaryota; Metazoa; Chordata; Actinopteri; Cypriniformes; Xenocyprididae
Exons: 3
Source: RefSeq, a predicted model, not a curated record
UGCGCCACUUCACUUCUGCAUGGAUGAAUCUGAUGGUUUAAGGACUCUCCAUGGUUACCAGUGAUCACUAUACCAGAUCACCAUAUCUGUCAUUUUACACCAUGAUCCACUGACAGUAAGAAGAAAGUGCUGUUGUAACAGAAGCAAGCUAGUGUGUGUAAACCUCACUCCCCUGACACUAGAGACUGCAACCUUUAGCAUUGCUAGCACACCCGCCUCUCAUGCCGGAGACGGCAGUUCAAAUCCUGCUUGGAGUGGGUCAAAUAGGACCAGUUAUAUUGGUGCCGUGACCCGGAUGGGAGUGAGAUUUAAGCAUUUUUUUGCAUAGUGCAUUCUCAAACACAACCACAACAGAACAUGAGGGUUAAGAAUAAGCCGUUGAUAAACCCAUACCAGUCGACCGCUAAUCAGAAUACUGGGGAGAACGUAUCCUAUUCAGUGGUUUAAGAUUGUUCGUCCCUGUUUGUCAGUAUUCUGGCCUCUUUAGCAGUUUCCUCUUCCUGACCAUCUGCUGCAUGCGGGGUACUCACCUCAUCUCCUCAGUGGCAAAGGGAACGGGU